GUUUUAAAUAGAACUGUCCAUUUGGCUAUGAGCGAAUCAUCCUGCUUGCUUUUAUAAGCAUUUAUCCUGAAAAGAAAUUUAAAGCAGACAUCCCAUAAAUGGAGUCUGGGACAGAAACCUACACAUUGGGAAAACAGUCCCUUGAGCUAUGAAAACUUAUAUGGCAGGAGAACAUUAAAAACCCAAAGUAUUUUUGAAGCUUAGUGUAUUUUUCUUUUUCUCUUUUUUUUUUCUUUUUUCCAGGCUUGGUGGCAUGCAUGUUUAGUCCCAGCUACACAGCAGGGAGGCUGAGGCUGAAGGAAUACUUGAGCCCAGGAAUUCAAGACUAGCCUGCACAACAUAGUGAGACCCUGACUUUAAAAUAAAUUUAAAAAAAUUAAAAGCAACAAGACUUUCUGCUUGUAUAUGAUGAUGUUAGUAUGCUGACUUACAAGGUUAGAUCAUUUUGAUAUGUGUGAUGUAGGUUUUCAAAGCUGGCACUGUUUUAUGCUUCAAAUAUUAUUUUUAUUCAUUGGUUCUCAUGGGAUUUCAUCACUAAGCUGUAAAUCAAUAAUCAUAAUGUUGAGGGGAGGGGAUUACAAAAUAGCUCUUCAAAAUCAUCUUUGCAUUUCUCAAUAAACAGCAUUCCCUUUUGGACUACAGUGAAAAAUAUUGAGCUUUGUUUACUUUGAAAAUGAGUCUUAGUCUAUGAAUGCCUGGGUAGGGUCAAGAAUGAAAAAUGAGAGGAAGAGAGAAGCAUCAGGAAGAUAAAAUGAUCAAUCUCACAAAACUUGCUAUUUUUAGAAAGCAUCAUUCUAAUUUUGAAACCAAAAAAAUGGGGAAAAACAGAGUAAUGGAAUAAUAGAAUGCCUCAUGUACAAAAGCAACAAUUUCAGAGAUGAUCUAAAACAACUUAUUAGUUAUAGGAAGAAAUAUACCUGAAAAGGGCAAAAAUAAGUUGGGUUUGGCCUCUUGUCACUGAAAUUAUCUACUAAAUCUAACAGCAUCUAUGUUCCUUUAGCUGUUGUGUAUAUUGUACACAAAUGUGAAACCAUAACUCAUAUUUUACCUAUAACAAUUUGCAAUAAAUAACUAAUUAUGAAGGCUUGCAUGUCAUUUUUGAAGACCUUGUAAGUCUAAUUCAAAGGAAUUUUCCAAGAAAAAUAUUGGGAGGUAGGGUUAUACAUUGACAUAUAUAAUUAUACACCUAUGCCAUAUAUAUGUAUGUAUGUGAAUAAUGAACACACAUAGGUAAUUUGAGAUUGAUUCCUCUAAAAAACUGUGCUCACCAGGUGUGGUGGCUCAUGACUGUAUCCCUAGCGCUUUGGGAGGCUGAGCCAGGCAGAUCACUUGAGGUCAGGAGUUUGAAACUAGCCUGGCCAACAUGGUGAAAACCCAUAUCAAGGGUGUG
Molecule: long non-coding RNA, 1390 nt
Filed under: Homo sapiens (human)
Lineage: Eukaryota; Metazoa; Chordata; Mammalia; Primates; Hominidae
Description: HSALNT0288537
Source: RNAcentral